RNAcentral lists this long non-coding RNA (1240 nucleotides) under Anas platyrhynchos platyrhynchos (common mallard). RNAcentral describes it as "lncRNA (ENSAPLG00000030667.1)". The record is from RNAcentral. Lineage: Eukaryota; Metazoa; Chordata; Aves; Anseriformes; Anatidae.
ACAUCAUUUUUUCAGCCCAUAUCUUCAGAAAACAUCAGACGCACUGUCUCUUCUGAGUGACCAAAGCAGCAUCUCUUCUCCAUUUAAAAAAUGACCUUGUGGAAACGGGGAUGCUCCCCUGAAUUUUGUUGUCCAGCUUUGUCUGAAGCCCUCUUCUAGUCCCUUCUCCAAGAACAAGACAAGGUGGCUGAGGAUGGAGGAGCACCUCCAGUCCUGGCACGGGAGCAGGAGUGUGCCUGGUCCAGAUGCUGGGCAGACCUGGAUGCUGGGCUGAUGACAUUAAUGGGCUGAGGAACUGAAACUACUGCCCUGGAGAGGAAGCAAGAUCAUGUCUGCUGCUCCCUUCACACUCUUGGCUUUGUUUGCUUUGCAUGGCUGGUUUCUGCUUGGAUAAAAAAAAAAUAAGUCUCCUGGCCCUUCGAGAUGAGGAAACUCUCGAUGUCAAAAGGAGGUUGUGAGGGGUUCAAGAUGUGUCCUUCCCCUGGGAAAGGGAAAAGAUGCUCCCAUGGGACCUGAUAUAUCCGGGACGCAUGAAGCCCUAUGUCUGCUAAUACUUAAACAAACAUUAAUUAAAACAUCUUAAUUAGGAUGUUUUGAGAACUGUGCAUUGGUCUGUCAUGCCCUUUGUGAAAUAUUAAACACCCCUGCCCUUCCAGUGGAGUCCUUCUCCCCAGGUCUUCCUGCAAAUGGGGUUUGACACCCCUGACUAUUUUGGAAUUAAACAAACUUCUGCAAAAAUCUUAAUGUGAUCUUUGAUGUUACAGUCAAAGGAGCACAUGCCAGAAAAUGUUUUGCUCUCUCCACUUCAUCAUCUAGCUGUGUUUGUUGAUAUUUUCCCAUCAGGCCCGACAACAAACAGCUGAUUAACUCAUUAGCCGAGAGCAUCAAAGCACAUGGCGAGAGCAUGAAAUCUCCUGCUGUGUCCUCCAGUUACUCCUCACAGCUCGGUGGUUUCUGCAGGGCCUGUCUGGGUGUGAUCUCUCUGUCCUGCACAACUGCCCGUCUCGAGGACUUGUGGGCAGAAAUGUGCCCACUCUUUCUUCACCCAACUUUUCCAUGUUUAUGGCUGUGCCGCUGCCAGGAGCUCCUCGAGGCAACACGAUGUGGAGGGUCUCCUGUGGAGGAUUUCAGCCCUGUGAUCACCUGCAGAUACCCAUCAGCUACAUUACCCUUCACACGGAGUAUUAAAAGAAUAUCUUUAUUUGGAAGAGAAGAGGAAUCUAGAGAGUGACCUUAAUGU